This 253-nucleotide ribosomal RNA is filed under the name uncultured bacterium. RNAcentral describes it as "partial 16S ribosomal RNA". It matches the Rfam family "Bacterial small subunit ribosomal RNA", at positions 524 to 776 of the family's 1533-position model. The record is from RNAcentral.
UACGUAGGGGGCAAGCGUUAUCCGGAUUUACUGGGCGUAAAGGGAGCGUAGACGGCGAUGCAAGUCUGAAGUGAAAGGCGGGGGCCCAACCCCCGGACUGCUUUGGAAACUGUAUGGCUGGAGUGCAGGAGAGGUAAGUGGAAUUCCUAGUGUAGCGGUGAAAUGCGUAGAUAUUAGGAGGAACACCAGUGGCGAAGGCGGCUUACUGGACUGUAACUGACGUUGAGGCUCGAAAGCGUGGGGAGCAAACAGG